UAGAGUUUGAUCAUGGCUCAGAUUGAACGCUGGCGGCAGGCCUAACACAUGCAAGUCGAGCGGUAACAGGAAUUAGCUUGCUAAUUCGCUGACGAGCGGCGGACGGGUGAGUAAUGCCUGGGAAUAUGCCUUAGUGUGGGGGAUAACUAUUGGAAACGAUAGCUAAUACCGCAUAAUGUCUUCGGACCAAAGAGGGGGACCUUCGGGCCUCUCGCGCUAAGAUUAGCCCAGGUGAGAUUAGCUAGUUGGUGAGGCAAGAGCUCACCAAGGCGACGAUCUCUAGCUGGUCUGAGAGGAUGAUCAGCCACACUGGAACUGAGACACGGUCCAGACUCCUACGGGAGGCAGCAGUGGGGAAUAUUGCACAAUGGGCGCAAGCCUGAUGCAGCCAUGCCGCGUGUAUGAAGAAGGCCUUCGGGUUGUAAAGUACUUUCAGUUGUGAGGAAGGCAGUUAAGUUAAUAGCUUGGCUGUUUGACGUUAGCAACAGAAGAAGCACCGGCUAACUCCGUGCCAGCAGCCGCGGUAAUACGGAGGGUGCGAGCGUUAAUCGGAAUUACUGGGCGUAAAGCGCAUGCAGGCGGUCUGUUAAGCAAGAUGUGAAAGCCCGGGGCUCAACCUCGGAACAGCAUUUUGAACUGGCAGACUAGAGUCCUGUAGAGGGGGGUAGAAUUUCA
RNAcentral lists this ribosomal RNA (675 nucleotides) under uncultured Vibrionaceae bacterium. RNAcentral's name for it is "bacterial SSU rRNA". It matches the Rfam family "Bacterial small subunit ribosomal RNA", at positions 1 to 671 of the family's 1533-position model. Lineage: Bacteria; Pseudomonadati; Pseudomonadota; Gammaproteobacteria; Vibrionales; Vibrionaceae. The record is from RNAcentral.